This is a non-coding RNA of Potamilus streckersoni, 74 nucleotides long. The record is from the annotation of a GenBank genome assembly. Lineage: Eukaryota; Metazoa; Mollusca; Bivalvia; Unionida; Unionidae.
UACUCCGGUGGCCUAGUGGUCAGAGCAUCCAUCUUGGAUGUGGAAGGUCAUGGGUUCAAACCCUGGCUGAGUCA